Molecule: ribosomal RNA, 460 nt
Filed under: uncultured bacterium
Lineage: Bacteria
Description: partial 16S ribosomal RNA
Rfam family: Bacterial small subunit ribosomal RNA
Source: RNAcentral
CCUACGGGUGGCAGCAGUGAGGAAUAUUGGUCAAUGGACGAGAGUCUGAACCAGCCAAGUAGCGUGAAGGAUGACUGCCCUAUGGGUUGUAAACUUCUUUUAUAAAGGAAUAAAACGAGGCACGUGUGCCUUUUUGCAUGUACUUUAUGAAUACGGAUCGGCUAACUCCGUGCCAGCAGCCGCGGUAAUACGGAGGAUCCGAGCGUUAUCCGGAUUUAUUGGGUUUAAAGGGGGCGUAGAUGGGUUGUUAAGUCAGUUGUGAAAGUGUGCGGCUCAACCGUAAAAUUGCAAUUGAUACUGGCAAUCUGGAGUACAGUUGAGGUAGGCGGAAUUCGUGGUGUAGCGGUGAAAUGCGUAGAUAUAACGAAGAACCCCGAUUGCGAAGGCAGCUUACUAAACUGUGACUGACAUUGAUGCUCGAAAGUGUGGGUAGCAAACAGGAUUAGAUACCCUAGUAGUC